Molecule: ribosomal RNA, 543 nt
Filed under: uncultured Gallionellaceae bacterium
Lineage: Bacteria; Pseudomonadati; Pseudomonadota; Betaproteobacteria; Nitrosomonadales; Gallionellaceae
Description: bacterial SSU rRNA
Rfam family: Bacterial small subunit ribosomal RNA
Source: RNAcentral
AGUGGGGGAUAACACAUCGAAAGAUGUGCUAAUACCGCAUAUGCCCUGAGGGGGAAAGGGGGGGAUCCGCAAGGACCUCUUGCUUUCGGAGUGGCCGAUAUCGGAUUAGCUAGUUGGUGAGGUAAAGGCUCACCAAGGCGACGAUCCGUAGCUGGUCUGAGAGGACGACCAGCCACACUGGAACUGAGACACGGUCCAGACUCCUACGGGAGGCAGCAGUGGGGAAUUUUGGACAAUGGGCGCAAGCCUGAUCCAGCCAUACCGCGUGAGUGAAGAAGGCCUUCGGGUUGUAAAGCUCUUUCAGCCGGAAAGAAAUCACACUUAUUAACACUGAGUGUGGAUGACGGUACCGGAAGAAGAAGCACCGGCUAACUACGUGCCAGCAGCCGCGGUAAUACGUAGGGUGCGAGCGUUAAUCGGAAUUACUGGGCGUAAAGCGUGCGCAGGCGGCUUUUUAAGCCAGAUGUGAAAUCCCCGGGCUUAACCUGGGAACUGCAUUUGGAACUGGAAGGCUAGAGUGUAGAAGAGGGGGGUAGAAUUCCG